Molecule: long non-coding RNA, 3382 nt
Organism: Salvelinus fontinalis (brook trout)
Lineage: Eukaryota; Metazoa; Chordata; Actinopteri; Salmoniformes; Salmonidae
Exons: 2
Source: RefSeq, a predicted model, not a curated record
AGUUGGUGGAAUAAUCCUUUAAUUCAUGGCCACUUACUCAGCUGGGCCAGAGCGCUUUAAUUAGGUCAGGUGGCAAUGACCGACAGAUCUCAUCCACAUAAAAGGAGGAAAACGGCGUCGCCUGAUCUCACUGCUUUCUCUUCCUUAACUCCGUCUGCUCGAAGUUCUGUGCGUCCAUGAAUCCACCACAGACUACUCAGUAAAUAUACUACUUUAUGGUUAAAGGAAUUCCUGCCUCAGUCUCAUCCAUUCUUCUGACACGUGACCACCUGUUCACCUUCACUGUCAGUCAUCCUACCUGUCCAGCUACCCACACAGAUUCCACUAAUCUUUCAAUGUCCUUCAAGCCGGAUGAUGACUGAACCAAAGACGGGUGAAAUGGAGGAGGAUAGGGAAGAAUUGUCUCCACUGGAAGGAAGAGAGGAGGAGAGGGCAGCUGAGGGAAAGGUCUUGGAACAAAGGAAAUAUCCAGGAGCUAAGCCUAAAGCAACAAAGGCUUCAUCCUCAACCACCAGCAGCACUAGAAGAACCAGGCAAGCGCCUGGUUAUCUUAAGGAUUAUCUGGUCGAGAUUUCGACAUCAAAGGGCAAGCCCACUAGAGCUCAAGGUGGUGAUGGAUCAACUGUACGUUUCAGCCAUCAACCAUCUCCUCUGAGCCAAGCACCGGAAACUGCGUUGGAGCAGGAAAGUGGUCUACAGGAAGAACCCAUGGAGGUGACUCCCACAGCACAGGUCAACCAGCUUCCUGAGGCAGGCUCCGCUCACUCCUUAACUAAAGGGAAAUCGUCGAGGCACUCUAGACGGAGUGGGAGUUCGACCAGUGGAUACCCCUUUGGAAGUGGCCAUGGCAGCCGCCAUUCACUAUUGAUGCAGUAACGGCCCCCCUAUCUACUUUUGUUGACUUUUUUUAUUAGACCACUCGCAGAACAGCUCCCCUCCUUUGUAAAGCACACCAGCAGUAUGAUCUCUAUCAUAGAAUCUCUUGAUCCUCUCCCUGAGAAUACCUUGUUAGUUACUUUUGAUGGUGAGUCGUUAUACACAAAUAUUCCACACGAGGGCGGUAUUGAAGCUAUGGAACAUGUUCUUCCUCAACGUGACCAUAAUGAACUACCUUCCAGUGCAUGCAUUAUAACAUUGGCUGAAAUAGUACUCGCACAUAACUAUUUCAUGUUUCUAAAUUAUUUAUUUAUUCAGACGAAGGGUACUGCUAUGGGGUCCCCCAUGGCUCCUAACGAUGCUAAUUUGAAUGUGGGUUACAUGGAGAAACAGUAUAUUUUCAAUCCUCUCAAAUGUUUUCUUGCCUAACAUCAUUAUUUGGAAACGGUAUAUUGAUGAUAUUUUUGUUCUAUGGAGGGGUGAUGCAAAACAGCUCCAGGCAUUCCAUGCUUUUCUUAUCUCCUGUUCUGAGCAUCUGAGAUUUACUAUGCAAUCUGAUACAAGUCAAAUCAGUUUUCUUGAUCUUUUGAUCUUGUGUGAAAAUAAUGUUCUAUACACUGAUCUUUACAGGAAACCUACUGAUCGUAAUAGUUUGUUGAGGGCUGACAGUUGUCACCCACUUCCCUUGAAAAAUAGUUUGCCCUACAGCCAAUUCUGUCGAAUCAAAAGAAUUUGCAAAAAACAAUCAGAUUUCGACAGAAAUAUGGCUGAGACGCAAAGAAAGUUCAAGGAGAGGGGGUACAAAUGUGAUCAGAUUAAUAUUGCCAUUGAGAAAAAUCAAAACAAAACGUUUUUCAAGGGCAGUCUCGCAAAAAGACGCAUUCUUGCAUUCUAACUACCCGCUAUUCAAAGCGCUCUGAACAAAUUAAAGGAAUCGUUCAAACAUUGGCAUAUUCUAAAAUCCGAUGAUAGUCUCGGUAAUGUGUUUUUCGGACCUUCCCUUGGUCGUAUUCUCGCGGGGCAGAAAUCUCAGAGACCAAUUGGUACACUCUGAUUUACCACCCCAAGAUAUUCCUGAACAACGGCUAUUUGCGCCCCUACUGGAUGGAAAUUACAAGUGUAAUGGCUGUGCUCAAAGCGUAUAAACGUAUAAAUGCAGAUCCUUCAAACACCCACAAACAGGGAAAUCGAUCCCAAUCAAAGGUGUUAUUAAGUGUGUAACAGUAUAACUUUACGUCCGUCCCCUCGCCCAUACCCGGGCUCGAACCAGGGACCCUCUGCACACAUCAACAACAGUCAUCCACGAAGCAUCGUACCCAUCGCUCCACAAAAGCCGCGGCUCUUGCAGAGCAAGGGGAACCACUACUUCAAGGUCUCAAAGCAAGUAACGUAACUGAUUGAAACGCUAUUAGUGCGCACCACCACUAACUAGCUAGCCAUUUUACAUCUGUUACACUCACCCCACUUUCGACCUCCUCCUUUUUCCACAGCAACCAGUGAUCCGGGUCAACAGCAUCAAUUUAACAGUUUAACUUUAUUCCGUCCCCUCGCCCCGACCCGGGCGCAAACCAGGGACCUUCUGCACACAUCAACAACGGUUGCCCACGAAGCAUCAUUACCCGUCGCUCCACAAAGGCUGCGGCUCUUGCAGAGCAAGGGGAACCACUACUUCAAGGUCUCAAAGCGAGUAACGUAACCGAUUGAAACGCUAUUAGUGCGCAUCACAGCUAACUAGCUAGCCAUUUCACAUCCGUUACACGUGCUCCACUAAGGCAGUUAUUUAUCUUAUAACUUGUCCUUGUGGUAAAAAUGAUGUGGGUAAAACAAAGCGCGAAUUAAAAGUACGUAUCUCAGAGCAUCGUAGCACCAUUAGGUGCAAAAACUUGACCUACCCAGUUGCGGCUCACAUUUUGGAGGCAGGCCACUCGAUUUCGUCUCUGCUUUAUAUUGGCAUCGAACAUGUCACCCUCCCUAGGAGAGGGGGUGACCUUGAUAAUUUAUUGUUAAAACGAGAGGCUGCCUGGAUCUUUAACUUAAAGACCCUUGCUCCCUUCGGUCUCAACGUAGACUUUGAUCUGAAGCCAUUCUUGUGAUGAUUGGGACUUUGCCAUUGUAAUUGUUUGUAAGCUUGUGUAGUCUGAAAUGAAUCUAUGAUCGUAUGCUAUCCAUUUGUUUUUUGUAUGCCAUUUUAAUAUUUGAGAAUUAACCAAUGAUAGUCAAGGUUAUUAUGGGGUCAAUGUCAGCAUGACAGUCAAUGUUAUUAUGGAGUCAGUUGUAAAUGAGAACUUGUUCUCAACUGGCCUACCUGGCUAUAUAAAGGUGAAAUAAAAAUCUAAAAAUAAUCAUGUCAGUAUGAAAGUCAAUGUUAGGUAUUUGGAAUAUGACCUCAUGGCUGUCUUUACAUUAACAAAAUAUGUGAAGUAAAAUGGGCCUCUGUUUGUCAUGAGCAACUAUUUCUGUUAAGUGUUUAAUUUUCGUUUUGGCUAUUAAACACAACAAAAAUGUC